UUACCUCAGUAACGGCGAGUGAAGCGGUAACAGCUCAAAUUUGAAAUCUGGCUCUUUUAGGGUUCGAGUUGUAAUUUGUAGAAGAUGCUUUGGGUGUGGCCCUGGUCUAAGUUCCUUGGAACAGGACGUCAUAGAGGGUGAGAAUCCCGUAUGUGACUAGGCGCUUUCGCCCGUGUAAAGCUCUUUCGACGAGUCGAGUUGUUUGGGAAUGCAGCUCAAAAUGGGUGGUAAAUUUCAUCUAAAGCUAAAUAUUGGCCAGAGACCGAUAGCGCACAAGUAGAGUGAUCGAAAGAUGAAAAGCACUUUGGAAAGAGAGUUAAACAGUACGUGAAAUUGUUGAAAGGGAAGCGCUUGCAACCAGACUUAGUUGCGGCUGAUCAUCCAGGGUUCUCCCUGGUGCACUCGGUCGUAUCUAGGCCAGCAUCGGUUUGGGUGGUGGGAUAAAGGCCUUGGGAAUGUAGCUUCUUUCGGGGAGUGUUAUAGCCCUCGGUGCAAUGCCGCCUACCUGGACCGAGGACCGCGCUUCGGCUAGGAUGCUGGCGUAAUGGUUGUAAGCGAC
RNAcentral lists this ribosomal RNA (559 nucleotides) under Lachnum sp. OTU33 TS-2013. RNAcentral's name for it is "eukaryotic LSU rRNA". It matches the Rfam family "Eukaryotic large subunit ribosomal RNA", at positions 75 to 648 of the family's 3401-position model. The record is from RNAcentral. Lineage: Eukaryota; Fungi; Ascomycota; Leotiomycetes; Helotiales; Lachnaceae.